RNAcentral lists this unclassified non-coding RNA (601 nucleotides) under Sedum anglicum. Its description in RNAcentral is "sequence contains ITS1, 5.8S rRNA gene and ITS2". The stretch from base 233 to 388 matches the Rfam family "5.8S ribosomal RNA". The record is from RNAcentral. Lineage: Eukaryota; Viridiplantae; Streptophyta; Magnoliopsida; Saxifragales; Crassulaceae.
UCGAAGCCUAGAAAGCACGACCGCGAAUGAGUUUUCAAAUCGGGGACCAUUGUUAGGCCCUCGGGCUUAGCAAUGCGCCCUCGUUGGUUGGUGAGUACACUUGUGUAUUCACCUUCCGAUACUUAACGAACCCCGGCGCGGACAGCGCCAAGGAAUCAAACCGAAAUGAGCAAGGCCCUUUAUCCCGUUGAUCGGUGUUUGAGGGCCUUGUCUAUUCAUUAAAUAUCAUAACGACUCUCGGCAACGGAUAUCUCGGCUCUCGCAUCGAUGAAGAACGUAGCAAAAUGCGAUACUUGGUGUGAAUUGCAGAAUCCCGUGAAUCAUCGAGUCUUUGAACGCAAGUUGCGCCCGAAGCCUUUAGGCCGAGGGCACGUCUGCUUGGGCGUCAUGCACUGCGAUGCCCCCAUACUUUGUGGGUGCAAACCUUGGCCUCCCGUCACCAACUUGCGGAUGGCUUAAAAAAGAGCCUCGAGACGGAGUAACGUCGCGACAAGUGGUGGUUAAGAGGCGAUUGCCCCUAUGACUUAGCGUGUUGCGGCAUCUCCCCUCUAUAGCUCGAAAAAAACCUUAGCAGAGCGCGUUUAUAGCGUGCUUCAGCAUC